AAAAUGAAUAAACAUUAAAAAAAUGUUUUUUAAAAAAGAAAAAACUUAGAGUGGGGAAAAGCUUCUGGAAAAUUAAAAAUAAAUUUUUUUUAAAUAUGAUAGCAGAAAUGAAAAGAACUCAACAAAAGGAUUAGAAGAUAAAGUCUCUUCCAAAAAGAGAAGGGAAAUAAAAAUUUAAAAAAAGAAAAGAAAAUUGAAGUACAAGUCCAGGGAAUCCUAUAUUGGAAUAAUAAAUUCCAGAAAGAGCAAACAGAACAAAAAAGAGGGGAAGAGACACCAAAAUAAUUUAAGGACCUUUCCCAGAGUUGAAGGGCAUGAGAUUCCAUUGAGAAUACCCAUCAUGACAGACAGACUAAUACAAAGGUCCAUUGUCAUGGAAUUUCAGAACACUGGAAACAAAGAGAAAAAUCUUACAAACUUCUAGAGAGCAAAAACAGCCAUCAAGGUCUCAAAUAAUGUACUUCCCAUACACCCUUUCUCUAGAAGCUACUGGAGCAAGUAUUCCAAAAGCAAAUCAAGACAGAGAAAAAUCUGGGAUACAGUAAACAAGAAAGCUAUCACAAGAAGGAGAGCUACAUGUGUGCCAGCACUUAAAUAUAAAGUACUCACAAGCUCUAGCGGACUGAGACGAGCACUGGAGAUAGGCCUGGAAUCAGAUGACUCAAAACUGGAUGCAUGGAGGCUAGCAGAGGAGAUGGAACAGAAAUAUUAUUACAUUGUGAGAAGCAGUUUCAAUAAUGUAAGAUCUACACAGUUAAUCUAUUAUUAUUAUAUUAAUGUUAGUAUGUCAUUAAAUAAAAUAUGGAAAUGUUCAGUGAUAUAAGUGAACUGAGUUAGAAGUGUGUUUUUGGGGGGUAGGGAAGUAUUUUUUUUCUUUAUAUUUGUUAAAUUACAAAUUCUUAUCAAAGAGGAUUUUUGCCAACUUAAACAAUCACUCAGAGUUUGAAAGCUUGUCUGUUUAUAGUAAAGUACACCUGAACUAGAAGACAAUAGUAUCACAGAAAUUUUAACUUUAUAAAAAUUCUCCUAACAAUUGGAACAAAUCCAUUCAGUUAGUAUGGAUUAAAUACCAAACACUAUGCUAAACAGUUUCGAGUACAUCCUCUCAGUUAAUCCCUACAGCAGUUCUGUGAGGGAGGGAGUCUUAGACAAUAGUACAAAAGCUAUGACAUAUGCCCAGAGAUGAUAUUCAAACUGUUACUUAUGAGAUGGGGUGGGAGGAGCAGGGCAGUCAGAAGCCCUGGGGCUACAGCUAUUUAUGCACCAAUAUAGAGACACGCCAAUAUUUUCACAACAGGAGCAGCUUCCUUGGAGUGUGCAAGUUAAAUGUCAGCCCUGCUUCCAAAUAAUCUUAAUACAAUGUAGAAACUGAUGGGGUCAAUGAAAAAAACUGAGAUAACUCCCAGGUUAUUACAAAAAAAGGAAGGGAUUUCUGACUGGGAGAAGGUGUCAGGGAGACUUCCUGGAGGAGCUGGUCCUUGAGCUGGGUUCUGAAAAAUGCUGAAUUUGAAGCAUGAGGCAAUGGCUGAUAUCAGGGCUGCAGUAGAGAAGGAAUUUCCAGGAAAGUCAAUGAAUGAGCCAAGGCAGAGUGCCAAGAACAUAUGGGGUGUGUGCUGGACAAGAAUGAGCUCUGGAAAUAUAAACUGGAGUUGGACCAGAGAGAGAAUGGAAUAGCAGGUCAAGAAAAUAAAUAAAAGCUGCUGAGCAAAUUAAUUAAUAGAUUUUGAGGCAUGAUGUGAUCCGGCAGGGGUGGGUAGGAUGGAAAGGAAAAAGACUAGAAGGGACAAAAUCAGGUUCUUGUGUAAUCAGCCAACUAACUCUUAGAGGUCCUCAAGGAAGCAUUCCUGGACAUGCCUCUCCCCCUCCUCCAGCCUCAGUUAGGUGUUCCUCCUCCAUACUCUGCAAGGUCACUGGUUGGCCUCUAUCAGUACACCUUCCCACUGUGCUCCUGGUGCUGCCUCACCAGACUCUGAGCCACAAUUCUUUAUGUGAGGCACAGCUGAAGGUGUGGAGGUCAACACUCGUAGAAUCGCUGAACUUCACUUUCAAAUAUAGAUCUAAGAAAUAUCCAGCUGAAGGCAAUAUGGCUUCUUUCAUUGGAGAC
Long non-coding RNA from Panthera uncia (snow leopard), 2104 nucleotides. RefSeq lists it as uncharacterized. The record is from RefSeq and is a predicted model, not a curated record. Lineage: Eukaryota; Metazoa; Chordata; Mammalia; Carnivora; Felidae. The transcript is spliced from 3 exons.